Molecule: ribosomal RNA, 497 nt
Filed under: uncultured bacterium
Lineage: Bacteria
Description: partial 16S ribosomal RNA
Rfam family: Bacterial small subunit ribosomal RNA
Source: RNAcentral
GAUGAACGCUGGCGGCGUGCCUAAUACAUGCAAGUCGAGCGAAUGGACGAGAAGCUUGCUUCUCUGAUGUUAGCGGCGGACGGGUGAGUAACACGUGGAUAACCUACCUAUAAGACUGGGAUAACUUCGGGAAACCGGAGCUAAUACCGGAUAAUAUUUUGAACCGCAUGGUUCAAAAGUAAAAGACGGUCUUGCUGUCACUUAUAGAUGGAUCCGCGCUGCAUUAGCUAGUUGGUAAGGUAACGGCUUACCAAGGCAACGAUGCAUAGCCGACCUGAGAGGGUGAUCGGCCACACUGGAACUGAGACACGGUCCAGACUCCUACGGGAGGCAGCAGUAGGGAAUCUUCCGCAAUGGGCGAAAGCCUGACGGAGCAACGCCGCGUGAGUGAUGAAGGUCUUCGGAUCGUAAAACUCUGUUAUUAGGGAAGAACAUAUGUGUAAGUAACUGUGCACAUCUUGACGGUACCUAAUCAGAAAGCCACGGCUAACUACGUG